RNAcentral lists this small nuclear RNA (101 nucleotides) under Mesocricetus auratus (golden hamster). The record is from RNAcentral. Lineage: Eukaryota; Metazoa; Chordata; Mammalia; Rodentia; Cricetidae.
AGUUAUAAAUGAGUGAAUGCUAAAACUGGACUGAAUCAGAGAAAAUUUCAUGGUCCCUGUGCAAGGAUACUGUACAAAUUCUUGAAGUAGUCCAUAUUUUU